GCUCUGGUGGCUCAAUCGGAUAGAGCGUUGGACUUCUAAUCCAAACGUUGCGGGUUCAAGUCCCGUCCGGAGUA
Molecule: non-coding RNA, 74 nt
Organism: Perkinsus marinus ATCC 50983
Lineage: Eukaryota; Perkinsozoa; Perkinsida; Perkinsidae
Source: Rfam